Molecule: microRNA precursor, 60 nt
Filed under: Mus musculus (house mouse)
Lineage: Eukaryota; Metazoa; Chordata; Mammalia; Rodentia; Muridae
Description: microRNA mmu-mir-12205 precursor
Source: miRBase by way of RNAcentral
UGUGUUUCCCAGUUGGUUUGAAAGAUGGUCAGCAUGUCAAACCAACUGGGAAACACAAAU